UCUUGGACAUGCCUUGCAUGGCAGGCUCCCCGCACGUACGUGCGGCCAACUGUCAUGGGGCUGUCUUCUCAGUGUCCCUGCGUUUAACCAUUUUGGUUGCUCGGGGUGCGUCGGUUUUGGUUGCCUGUGCGGUCUUACCCUUGUUGGUAGCACAAUUGUCCCGCUGUUGCGUAUUUCGCUUGCCCCGUUGAUGCCAUGCAUCGAUGGGCGGCCGAGGCGUUGGCAAAUUCCAUGCGCUGCGAUGCACUUUGUGCGUCGGAACUGCCUAUCGGAUGUUUGCCGGGUCUCACGGAUAUCAGUCCCUACGUUGAGCGGUCUGCGGGCUUCAAGCCUGCAGGCUCAUGGUGUUGCCCGUACACAUAAAUUUGUUGUCGUUCCUCGACAUGCCGUGUUCUUUCGGGAUUCACGGCGAGGGAUCUUACUCGGCGCAUGUUUGUGUGUACGMGCAUAUCCUUACCGACCCGAACGAUACGCGAUUGCCGGUCCUCAUUGUCACGGGGCG
This 502-nucleotide unclassified non-coding RNA is filed under the name Cyperus erinaceus. RNAcentral's name for it is "partial external transcribed spacer 1f". The record is from RNAcentral. Lineage: Eukaryota; Viridiplantae; Streptophyta; Magnoliopsida; Poales; Cyperaceae.